ACUUGCAAGUGCAACUGCAUGUAUGAAUCUCACUAAAUGUAAGAAAAAGGGAUGAAAGGAAGAAACUUCCUUAAUUUCUUGUGGAGUUGAAGAAAAGCUUUUUUACGUUUGGAGGAAAUACUGUGAGAUUCAGUGGUGGCUUUCCCUGUAUGGCCUAUGGCGUGAUAAAACAAUAGGAGUCGUCGAAUCGGUCAGCAUUCAGCAUCAAUGUGGUUUCUAUUAUUAAGCAAAUGGUUUGAAACAAAGUUUUCUCCAACAAGAGAUGUCAAGAAUCUUAAGGGCAAUAGUAUUUUAUUCCUCUUC
Long non-coding RNA from Daucus carota subsp. sativus, 303 nucleotides. RefSeq lists it as uncharacterized. The transcript is spliced from 2 exons. Lineage: Eukaryota; Viridiplantae; Streptophyta; Magnoliopsida; Apiales; Apiaceae. The record is from RefSeq and is a predicted model, not a curated record.